Molecule: transfer RNA, 85 nt
Filed under: Candidatus Omnitrophota bacterium
Lineage: Bacteria; Pseudomonadati; Candidatus Omnitrophota
Description: Candidatus Omnitrophica bacterium tRNA-Leu
Rfam family: tRNA
About the family: Transfer RNA (tRNA) molecules are approximately 80 nucleotides in length.
Source: RNAcentral
GCGAGCGUGGUGGAAUUGGCAGACACACCAGCUUGAGGGGCUGGCGGCGCAAGCCAUGGAGGUUCGAGUCCUCUCGCUCGCACCA